GACGAACGCUGGCGGCGUGCUUAACACAUGCAAGUCGAACGGAAUGGCCCUGCUUUUGUGGGGUGCUCGAGUGGCGAACGGGUGAGUAACACGUGAGUAACCUGCCCUUGACUUUGGGAUAACUUCAGGAAACUGGGGCUAAUACCGGAUAGGAGCUCCUGCUGCAUGGUGGGGGUUGGAAAGUUUCGGCGGUUGGGGAUGGACUCGCGGCUUAUCAGCUUGUUGGUGGGGUAGUGGCUUACCAAGGCUUUGACGGGUAGCCGGCCUGAGAGGGUGACCGGCCACAUUGGGACUGAGAUACGGCCCAGACUCCUACGGGAGGCAGCAGUGGGGAAUAUUGCACAAUGGGCGGAAGCCUGAUGCAGCAACGCCGCGUGCGGGAUGACGGCCUUCGGGUUGUAAACCGCUUUCGCCGGUGACGAAGCGUGAGUGACGGUAAUGGGUAAAGAAGCACCGGCUAACUACGUG
RNAcentral lists this ribosomal RNA (468 nucleotides) under uncultured bacterium. RNAcentral describes it as "partial 16S ribosomal RNA". It matches the Rfam family "Bacterial small subunit ribosomal RNA", at positions 28 to 507 of the family's 1533-position model. The record is from RNAcentral.